AACGCAUAUUGCGCCCCACGGCCUCGGCCCAGGGCAUGUCUGCCUUAGCGUCUGUUUACCCCCUCUCCCCCCUCUCACAUACUGUGAGAUCGGGAAGGUUGUGGUCUUGUGCUGCGGCACUUGGCCGAAAUUCAGUGACACUGCAGGGACCGUUAAUCGGACUCCAGCUUGGUAGGCUUUUCCCUCGUGGAAUUAUGCAUGCCGCUGUUGGCCGUGGACCACUGCAGCCGUCAAGCAGGGAAACCUUUCAACUUUAGACCUGAGGUCAGGCAAGACCACCCGCUGAACUUAA
This 292-nucleotide unclassified non-coding RNA is filed under the name uncultured fungus. RNAcentral describes it as "partial contains 5.8S ribosomal RNA, internal transcribed spacer 2, and large subunit ribosomal RNA". The record is from RNAcentral. Lineage: Eukaryota; Fungi.